Molecule: ribosomal RNA, 482 nt
Filed under: uncultured bacterium
Lineage: Bacteria
Description: bacterial SSU rRNA
Rfam family: Bacterial small subunit ribosomal RNA
Source: RNAcentral
UUGAACGCUGGCGGCAUGCUUUACACAUGCAAGUCGAACGGCAGCACGGGGGCAACCCUGGUGGCGAGUGGCGAACGGGUGAGUAAUAUAUCGGAACAUAUCCGGGAGUGGGGGAUAACGUAGCGAAAGUUACGCUAAUACCGCAUAUGCCCUGAGGGGGAAAGUGGGGGAUCGCAAGACCUCACGCUUUCGGAGUGGCCGAUAUCGGAUUAGCUAGUUGGUGGGGUAAAGGCCCACCAAGGCGACGAUCCGUAGCUGGUCUGAGAGGACGACCAGCCACACUGGGACUGAGACACGGCCCAGACUCCUACGGGAGGCAGCAGUGGGGAAUUUUGGACAAUGGGGGCAACCCUGAUCCAGCCAUGCCGCGUGAGUGAAGAAGGCCUUCGGGUUGUAAAGCUCUUUCGGACGGAAAGAAACGGUCACGGCCAAUACCCGUGGCUAAUGACGGUACCGUCAGAAGAAGCACCGGCUAACUACGU